Long non-coding RNA from Xiphias gladius (swordfish), 936 nucleotides. RefSeq lists it as uncharacterized. Lineage: Eukaryota; Metazoa; Chordata; Actinopteri; Istiophoriformes; Xiphiidae. The record is from RefSeq and is a predicted model, not a curated record. The transcript has 4 exons.
AUCUAUCACACGUGUAGACAAAGGGGGACUCCACAACACAAAGCUAGAUGUGCCCUCUCAAACUUUUUCCACGGUGCACGGCGACGCGCACAGAGAAAACCACCCCCAGGUGGAUUUUAACACCAGAUUAACCAGCAAAGCGUUUUCUUCUGUGGGAGGUUAAGGAAAUAAAAAUAUGUGGAAAUCACAUGGAGGAUGUACAGAGUCACCUAUCAAGCAGCUUUUAAGACGAAGAGGAGGAUUAACAGACCGUGCUGUUUUCUUUUGGAGAAGGUGAAGACUCAUCUCACAAGGAUUUAAACUUCAGCAGCAUCAGUGCCGGGCGGGAUGCAUUUUAUGCACACUUGGAAACCUAAAACUCAUGGAGACACUUUGAGGAUUAUAAAAAUGUGUAGUUUGUCUCUCCACAAGACAUGUCCCAGCCCAAAGUCACAGGGAUAGCAGGAUAUUGCAUUUCUGAUCCUCCUCGGCCCUCAGCAUGGGGAGUGUGGGAGCGGUGAGGUCUGGGAGAUCACGACCUUAAUUCUCUCCAAUACAGACAGUUUAAUUAACACUGGAGGAAUCCUCACUGGCUCUAGACCUCUACAAUGGGGAUGUUCAGGGGAAUUGGAUUGCCAAGAUGUGGAAAGUGACCUACAUGAAAAUGGAGAAGGAAAAUGAAGAAAUAGAGGAUAACAGCUUGGUAGGAAAAAAAACACAAAAGGGAAGAAAAAACCGUUUUUGAGUAUGUUUAACAGUUAUAUUGUGUAUAUUUGUCACAUAUAAGGUCACAACUCAUGGCUGUCAUCUUCAUUGUCAACUCCAACUGCAACUCUAGUAUUUAACUUUCAGUAUAGAGCAACAUCUGGUGGCAUUGGAGUCUAAAUAAUAAGUUUAGAAUGUGCAUUCACUAAUGGUUCUCAAGUGUGACUUUUCACAGGGUAUCACUGACUGUAA